AUUCCGUACUUCGUAUAUUUUGGAAUGGAUCCAAUGUAAUCGUUAGUAAGGAAAACAAUGUGAAAGGAAUUAUUAUAAAGUUCCUACCACCAAAUUAAAUGAAGGGGUAACAAGGUCCAAAUUUUAAAGAAAAACAGUUUGAAUCUCCUUAUUCGAAGGUGGAAAACGGAAAGAAUCAACCAUUAAUUUGCAAGAAAAGACUUUUCGUUUUUCUUCUUGUUCCUCAAAUGUCAUUUAUUGUAGGGUAAGUCAAGACGCAACUUGUGUUAGUAAAACCAAGCUCCUUGGUAAAACCGUUGUUCUGAACACAGUUAAUAGAAGGUAAGUUUCAAUCUUCAUGCAAACCAGAACAGAAUUUUUUCGUCAGAACAAGAAGUUGAAAGAGAUCAACAUACAAGUAAAAGGGCGUGAGAAACUCUUCCUCCGACCAAGGAGGUUGUUUUUUUAACCUCCUUGCUCCGACAGUUCACACCGACCUACUUACAUAUAACAAAAGGUAAGUUGAUAGGUGAUAAUGAUGAAUGAAUGAAGACGUCUAUAGUGUAGUGUCUUUCACGACUCGACGGUCAGACUGUACUGUCGGCUUUAACAAACGUUAGCGCUGAUGUGUUGCAGGACAUUUUGGACAUUCAAGUCACAGCGAGUUGUGAACAAUAGAGUGUGCACCAGAGUCCUGGACGUGACAUUCUAGACACAGAUGUGUAUUACAAUCUUUGGCUUUUGUCUGUUUCGUUGCAAAAUACAGGAAACCAACAUGAGUUUGCCAUAAAAAAACACCAUCCACGUUGUCACCAGUUAGCGAGAUUGAUUUGCUGAUAGACAUUAGUUCGUCAAUCCGAACACCAGAUGUUGUUUUGUUGUAUAAAGGGCUAAUUUUACAGGGACAGUGGUAUUGGGAUUUGACAUUUCUAGUAAAAAAAACUUAUUUCGAAUAGCAGUAUUUGAAUUUAUUUGGAAGUAUUUGGCAAUAUUAUUAUACACAAGCUUCAGGCAUUGGUGUUCUUGUUCUUGUGAAGGAGCGAUAUUACAACCUAUAUACUAUAAAAGUCUAUUCAAUAUUGUUACUGUAUAUAAUUUAUUGUAUAAACUACUCUAUAUACAAAAUGCGUCUUACUUAGUUGAAACCAGAAGGUUAGGAUAAACGAACGUAGUGUUACUGUUAGGAUUAACAAAAUAUCGUCAACAGAACUGAACGACACACACACACACACGUAUAUAUAGAACUGAACGACACACACAGAUACAUGCACACACUUCAGAACAACACAACUGCUGGCAGACUGUUCUUCCUUCGACCAAGGAGGCUAUACUUGUAAUUAACCUCCUGCUCCGACACUUCAAACCACUGAGCUUCGAUAUAUUGUACCUGCAUGAAGACUUUCCCGA
Long non-coding RNA from Branchiostoma floridae (Florida lancelet), 1386 nucleotides. RefSeq lists it as uncharacterized. The record is from RefSeq and is a predicted model, not a curated record. Lineage: Eukaryota; Metazoa; Chordata; Leptocardii; Amphioxiformes; Branchiostomatidae. The transcript is spliced from 3 exons.